AAAUUGAAGAGUUUGAUCAUGGCUCAGAUUGAACGCUGGCGGCAGGCCUAACACAUGCAAGUCGAACGGUAACAGGAAGCAGCUUGCUGUUUCGCUGACGAGUGGCGGACGGGUGAGUAAUGUCUGGGAAACUGCCUGAUGGAGGGGGAUAACUACUGGAAACGGUAGCUAAUACCGCAUAACGUCGCAAGACCAAAGAGGGGGACCUUCGGGCCUCUUGCCAUCGGAUGUGCCCAGAUGGGAUUAGCUUGUUGGUGGGGUAACGGCUCACC
This 272-nucleotide ribosomal RNA is filed under the name Escherichia coli. Its description in RNAcentral is "partial 16S ribosomal RNA". It matches the Rfam family "Bacterial small subunit ribosomal RNA", at positions 1 to 269 of the family's 1533-position model. Lineage: Bacteria; Pseudomonadati; Pseudomonadota; Gammaproteobacteria; Enterobacterales; Enterobacteriaceae. The record is from RNAcentral. RNAcentral also lists the same sequence under 1 other name.